CUGUGAUGGUAGUAGUGUUUGCGCUUAGGGAAAAAAUAACCUAAGGCAGGGAAACCUGACGGCAUCUAUUUAAUCUAAGGGUAACUAUGAUUAAAUGGAUAUAAAGUGCCACAGUGACGAUACUAUUUAGAAAUAAAUAGGGUGAAACGGGUAAACCCCACAAGCGAGAAACCCAAAUUAUGGUAGGGGAACUAUCUUAGGAGAACUAGAAUCUGAGGAUGGAUAGCAUAGCUAUAGAUAAAUGUUUGUCGCCUUUUGGUACAGAAUGUGGCUUAUAA
RNAcentral lists this RNase P RNA (278 nucleotides) under bovine gut metagenome. Its description in RNAcentral is "Bacterial RNase P class B". It matches the Rfam family "Bacterial RNase P class B", at positions 59 to 365 of the family's 365-position model. Rfam says of the family: Ribonuclease P (RNase P) is a ubiquitous endoribonuclease, found in archaea, bacteria and eukarya as well as chloroplasts and mitochondria. The record is from RNAcentral.